CGUGUACAAUUGUCAUGUAAAUAUUCCAACCCUUUAGCUGUUCCUAUGGCGAUUUUCAUUCUCUUUGUCCACUCCAAAGUCGUCUCUCCAUGUAAAUGAUGUUUCAAGGAUUUUUUGGGAACAUACUCCAAAAUAAGCAAUAUAUCGUCUCCUUCAAUGCAGUAUCCAAGCAGCUUAACAAGAUUUUUGUGACUCACUCUGCUAAUAACCUUAAUCUCCUCCUCCGAUUCUUCUUCCGAAUGCGACCGUUCAUCCGGACGAAUUUUUAGUUUCUUAAUAGCAACUUUUUUCCCAUCUAGUGUUCCCUCAUAGACUAGACUAAAACCGCCCUCGCCGAGGAAGUUUCUGUUGGAAAACUUAUCAGUUGCUUCUGCUAGUUCAUCAUAGCUAUAUUGCCUCAGCCCAAAUCCUUCUCGUGAGGUAGAUCCAGCAUUAGAACAUAAGAGUAUAUAUUUUCCCUAUCCAUCAACCAUCUAGACAACUUCUCUAGUUUCAGAUCGGCGAUCUGCCUCAGUGAUUCUGAAACAAUUCCUCACGAAAGCCAUCAAGACCGCAAGUCGAUACAGUACUAUGAUAUAGUUGUAUAGUUAUAAACUUCAGGAUUGAGGACUUUAGAGAAAAAGAGAGGGUAAGGUUCAG
This 639-nucleotide unclassified non-coding RNA is filed under the name Hevea brasiliensis (rubber tree). Lineage: Eukaryota; Viridiplantae; Streptophyta; Magnoliopsida; Malpighiales; Euphorbiaceae. The record is from RNAcentral.